RNAcentral lists this non-coding RNA (178 nucleotides) under Oceanospirillaceae bacterium. RNAcentral describes it as "6S RNA". It matches the Rfam family "6S / SsrS RNA". From Rfam's summary of the family: E. coli 6S RNA was the first non coding RNA to be sequenced, but its function was unknown until recently. It consists of 184 nucleotides that fold into an extended hairpin structure with a large single-stranded internal bulge. Lineage: Bacteria; Pseudomonadati; Pseudomonadota; Gammaproteobacteria; Oceanospirillales; Oceanospirillaceae. The record is from RNAcentral.
GACUCCCUGUGGUGCUCGACAUUCGAUAACGUCCUUGAGCCGAUUCAUAUAAUCAGGGUGCUUCUCGCAUACGCUUUGUGCAUGUCCACUUGUUGGAACGCCUUCCGCCUAUGCAGGGGCUCCCACCUUGAACCUUCGGGUUCAGGGCAACCAUCGGAAUCGCCACCUUGGGGAGUCU